GGCUAUCUGAUUUGGGGAUCCUCCAAUUGGGCUUCACUCCUUGGGCCGUUCGAUUUGGGCUGAAUUUUUAUGUGUCAACAAUUAUCCCCCAAUAUGGCAGAAUUAAUAAUAAUUAUUAAAUUUUGUCAUAUUCACUUUGUGUUUCCAGCAACAUUCGAAAUUCCCAAAAAUUUCAAUCAUUGUUUUCUUCUAUAACUUGAAAA
This 203-nucleotide long non-coding RNA is filed under the name Olea europaea (common olive). RNAcentral describes it as "long non-coding RNA (OEUR_LNC004621)". The record is from RNAcentral. Lineage: Eukaryota; Viridiplantae; Streptophyta; Magnoliopsida; Lamiales; Oleaceae.